RNAcentral lists this ribosomal RNA (490 nucleotides) under uncultured bacterium. RNAcentral describes it as "bacterial SSU rRNA". It matches the Rfam family "Bacterial small subunit ribosomal RNA", at positions 28 to 517 of the family's 1533-position model. The record is from RNAcentral.
GAUGAACGCUAGCGGCAGGCUUAACACAUGCAAGUCGAGGGGUAUUGGUUUUCGGACCAAGAGACCGGCGCACGGGUGCGUAACGCGUAUGCAAUCUACCUUUUGCAGAGGGAUAGCCCCAGAGAAAUUUGGAUUAAUACCUCAUAGUAUAGUACUUUGGCAUCAAGGAACUAUUAAAGUCACAACGGCAAGAGAUGAGCAUGCGUCCCAUUAGCUAGUUGGUAAGGUAACGGCUUACCAAGGCUACGAUGGGUAGGGGUCCUGAGAGGGAGAUCCCCCACACUGGUACUGAGACACGGACCAGACUCCUACGGGAGGCAGCAGUGAGGAAUAUUGGACAAUGGGCGCAAGCCUGAUCCAGCCAUGCCGCGUGCAGGAAGAAGCAUCUAUGGGUGUGUAAACUGCUUUUGUACGGGAAGAAACACUCCUACGUGUAGGAGCUUGACGGUACCGUAAGAAUAAGGAUCGGCUAACUCCGUGCCAGCAGCCG